GGGGACCUGAUGCAGCGACGCCGCGUGGAGGAUGAAGGAUCUAGGUCUGUAAACUCCUUUUUUCAGGAAAGACUUAGGACGGUACCUGAAGAAUAAGCACCGGCUAACUACGUGCCAGCAGCCGCGGUGAGACGUAGGGUGCAAGCGUUGUCCGGAUUUACUGGGCGUAAAGAGCGCGUAGGCGGUCUGUUAAGUGUAGAGUGAAAGCUCCGGGCUCAACCCGGAAAUUGCUCUGCAUACUGGCAGACUUGAGGGAUGCAGAGGUUUGUGGAAUUCCUGGUGUAACGGUGAAAUGUGUCGAUAUCAGGAGGAACACCCAUGGCGAAGGCAGCAAACUGGGCAUCAUCUGACGCUGAGGCGCGAAAGCGUGGGUAGCAAACAGGAUUAGAUACCCUGGUAGUCCACGCCCUAAACGAUGGAUACUAGGCGUAAGGGGUAUCGACCCCCCUUGUGCCGCAGCUAACGCAUUAAGUAUCCCGCCUGGGGACUACGGCCGCAAGGUUGAAACUCAAAUGAAUUGACGGGGACCCGCACAAGCGGUGGAGCAUGUGGAUUAAUUCGAUACUAACCGAAGAACCUUACCCACUCUUGACAUUGAAGGCAAGACAUAGAGAUAUGUCCCUCUCUCACAAGGAGACCUGAAAACAGAUGUUGCAUGGCUGUCGUCAGCUCGUGCCGUGAGGUGUACGGUUAAGUCCGCCAACGAGCGCAACCCUCGUCUUGUGUUACCAGCACGUAAUGGUGGGCACUCACAAGAGACCGCCGGUGUAAGCCGGAGGAAGGUGAGGAUGAUGUCAAGUCAGCAUGGCUCUUACGAGUGGGGCUUCACACAUGCUACAAUGGGCGCAACAAAGGGCCGCAACACCGCGAGGUAGAGCAAAUCCCAAAAAUACGUCCUCAGUUCAGAUUGCAGUCUGCAACUCGACUGCAUGAAGGCGGAAUCGCUAGUAAACGCAGUCAGCUAUACUGCGUUGAAUACGUUCCCGGGUCUUGUACACACCGCCCGUAAGGCGAU
Molecule: ribosomal RNA, 1015 nt
Filed under: uncultured Armatimonadota bacterium
Lineage: Bacteria; Bacillati; Armatimonadota
Description: bacterial SSU rRNA
Rfam family: Bacterial small subunit ribosomal RNA
Source: RNAcentral